CCUACGGGUGGCAGCAGUCGGGAAUAUUGCACAAUGGAGGCAACCCUGAUGCAGCGACGCCGCGUGCAGGAAGAAGGAUUUCGGAUUGUAAAGUGCUUUCAACAGGGAAGAAAAGAGACAGUACCUGUAGAAUAAGCUCCGGCUAACUACGUGCAAGCAGCAGCGGUAAUACGUAGGGAGCAAGCGUUAUCCGGAUUUACUGGGUGUAAAGGGUGCGUAGACGGAGAAGCAAGUUAGUUGUGAAAUCCCUCGGCUGAACUGAGGAACUGCAUCUAAACCUAGUUACCUUGAGUACUGGAGAGGAAGGUGGAAUUCCUAGUGUAGCGGUGAAAUGCGUAGAUAUUAGGAGGAACACCAGUGGCGAAGGCGACUUUCUGGACAGUAACUGACGUUGAGGCGCGAAAGUGUGGGGAGCAAACAGGAUUAGAUACCCCGGUAGUC
Molecule: ribosomal RNA, 441 nt
Filed under: uncultured bacterium
Lineage: Bacteria
Description: partial 16S ribosomal RNA
Rfam family: Bacterial small subunit ribosomal RNA
Source: RNAcentral